UUCGUCAUUGCUGCGGUUAAAAAGCUCGUAGUUGGAUCUGAGUCACAUGCAGUGGUUCGCCUUUGGCGUUAAUCGCUGUUGUGACUAUUUGCUGGUUUUCUACUUAGGUUUCGGCCUUUGUAGUGGCUAGCGAGUUUACUUUGAAUAAAUUAGAGUGCUCAGAACAGGCGUUUGCCUGAAUGCUCGAUCAUGGAAUAAUAAAAGAGGACUUCGGUUCUAUUUAUUGGUUCAGGAACUGAAAUAAUGGUUAAGAGGGACAAUUCGGGGGCAUUCGUAUCCCUGCGCGAGAGGUGAAAUUCGUGGACCGCAGGGGGACGCCCUAAAGCGAAAGCAUUUGCCAAGAAUGUCUUCAUUAAUCAAGAACGAAAGUCAGAGGUUCGAAGGCGAUUAGAUACCGCCCUAGUUCUGACCGUAAACUAUGCCAUCUAGCGAUCCGAUGGGGUAUAGUUGCCUUGUCGAGGAGCUUCCCGGAAACGAAAGUCUUUCGGUUCCUGGGGUAGUAUGGUUGCAAAGCUGAAACUUAAAGAAAUUGACGGAAUGGCACCACCAGGAGUGGAGCCUGCGGCUUAAUUUGACUCAACACGGGAAAACUCACCCGGCCCGGACACCGUAAGGAUUGACAGAUUGAAAGCUCUUUCUCGAUUUGGUGGUUGGUGGUGCAUGGCCGUUCUUAGUUGGUGGAGCGAUUUGUCUGGUUUAUUCCGAUAACGAGCGAGACUCUAGCCUGCUAAAUAGUGGCUGGAUUUUUAAGUCCAGUCUACUUCUUAGAGGGAUAAGCGGUGUUUAGCCGCACGAGAUUGAGCGAUAACAGGUCUGUGAUGCCCUUAGAUGUCCGGGGCUGCACGCGCGCUACAAUGGAAGAAUCAGCUGGCCUAUCCAUUGCCGAAAGGCAUUGGUAAACCGUUGAAACUCUUCCGUGACCGGGAUAGGGAAUUGUAAUUAUUUCCCUUGAACGAGGAAUUCCUAGUAAGUGUGAGUCAUCAGCUCACGCUGAUUACGUCCCUGCCAUUUGUACACACCGCCCGUCGCUGUCCGGGACUGAGCUGUCUCGAGAGGACUGCGGACUGCUGUAUCGAGGCCUUCGGGUCGCGGUAUGGGCGGGAAAAAC
RNAcentral lists this ribosomal RNA (1108 nucleotides) under Oesophagostomum muntiacum. RNAcentral describes it as "SSU rRNA". It matches the Rfam family "Eukaryotic small subunit ribosomal RNA", at positions 603 to 1757 of the family's 1831-position model. Lineage: Eukaryota; Metazoa; Nematoda; Chromadorea; Rhabditida; Strongylidae. The record is from RNAcentral.